CCUACGGGAGGCUGCAGUGAGGAAUAUUGGUCAAUGGGCGCGAGCCUGAACCAGCCAAGUAGCGUGAAGGAUGACUGCCCUACGGGUUGUAAACUGCUUUUAUAAAGGAAUAAAGUGAGGCACGUGUGCCUUCUUGCAUGUACCUUAUGAAUAAGCACCGGCUAACUCCGUGCCAGCAGCCGCGGUAAUACGGAGGAUCCGAGCGUUAUCCGGAUUUAUUGGGUUUAAAGGGAGCGGAGAUGGGUUGUUAAGUCAGUUGUGAAAGUUUGCGGCUCAACCGAGAGAUUGCAAUUGAUACUGGCGGCCUUGAGUGCGGUUGAGGUAGGCGGAAUUCGUGGUGUAGCGGUGAAAUGCUUAGAUAUCACGAAGAACUCCGAUUGCGAAGGCAGCCUGCUGAACUGCAACUGACGCUGAUGCUCGAAAGUGUGGGUAUCAAACAGGAUUAGAUACCCCAGUAGUC
RNAcentral lists this ribosomal RNA (460 nucleotides) under uncultured bacterium. Its description in RNAcentral is "partial 16S ribosomal RNA". It matches the Rfam family "Bacterial small subunit ribosomal RNA", at positions 338 to 795 of the family's 1533-position model. The record is from RNAcentral.